UUAAUAGAAGCCAAAACUUAAGAGGCAUUUCACUGUUAAUGAAGUAAUUGAGACACCUCCUAUUAAA
RNAcentral lists this transfer RNA (67 nucleotides) under Damon diadema. Its description in RNAcentral is "tRNA-Asn". The record is from RNAcentral. Lineage: Eukaryota; Metazoa; Arthropoda; Arachnida; Amblypygi; Phrynichidae.